RNAcentral lists this non-coding RNA (85 nucleotides) under Paramoeba aestuarina. Lineage: Eukaryota; Discosea; Flabellinia; Dactylopodida; Paramoebidae. The record is from RNAcentral.
AUAGAUAGAUAGAGAAAGAAAGAAAGAAAGAAAGAAGAAAGAUAAAGAGAAAGACAUACUUUUCUCACAUUUGUCCUCCUUGUUC